Octopus sinensis (East Asian common octopus) is the source of this 173-nucleotide long non-coding RNA. RefSeq lists it as uncharacterized. Lineage: Eukaryota; Metazoa; Mollusca; Cephalopoda; Octopoda; Octopodidae. The record is from RefSeq and is a predicted model, not a curated record. The transcript is spliced from 3 exons.
UUCAUCUUUAUUGUAAUAAAUAAGAUAACCAGACAACAGUGAAAACAAUGUAACGAACUAACAAAUCUCUUUACGAACCAACAAUCAAUAAUCCUUGUGAACUAACCAACCGACAACUUCCGACUUCACUGCGAACUAACACAAAUUACACUCGACUCCGAACUCUCAACCUU